CCCUUAGAUGUUCUGGGCCGCACGCGCGCUACACUGAUGCAUUCAACAAGUUUUACCUUGGCCGAGAGGCCUGGGAAAUCUUUCAAAUAUGUAUCGUGAUAGGGAUAGAUUAUUGCAAUUAUUAAUCUUGAACGAGGAAUUCCUAGUAAAUGCAGAUCAUCAUUCUGCGUUGAUUACGUCCCUGCCCUUUAUACACACCGCCCGUCGCACCUACCGAUUGAAUGAUCCGGUGAAGCCUCGGGAUUGUGCCCAGAGAACUUUAUUGUGAUUUGGGUGUGAGAACUUGUCUAAACCUUAUCAUUUAGAGGAAGGUGAAGUCGUAACA
Molecule: ribosomal RNA, 325 nt
Filed under: uncultured eukaryote
Lineage: Eukaryota
Description: partial 18S ribosomal RNA
Rfam family: Eukaryotic small subunit ribosomal RNA
Source: RNAcentral